AUUGAACGCUGGCGGCAUGCCUUACACAUGCAAGUCGAACGGCAGCACGGGUGCUUGCACCUGGUGGCGAGUGGCGAACGGGUGAGUAAUACAUCGGAACAUGUCCUGUAGUGGGGGAUAGCCCGGCGAAAGCCGGAUUAAUACCGCAUACGAUCUACGGAUGAAAGCGGGGGACCUUCAGGCCUCGCGCUAUAGGGUUGGCCGAUGGCUGAUUAGCUAGUUGGUGGGGUAAAGGCCUACCAAGGCGACGAUCAGUAGCUGGUCUGAGAGGACGACCAGCCACACUGGGACUGGGACACGGCCCAGACUCCUACGGGAGGCAGCAGUGGGGAAUUUUGGACAAUGGGCGAAAGCCUGAUCCAGCAAUGCCGCGUGUGUGAAGAAGGCCUUCGGGUUGUAAAGCACUUUUGUCCGGAAAGAAAUACUUGGCUCUAAUACAGUCGGGGGAUGACGGUACCGGAAGAAUAAGCACCGGCUAACUACGUG
RNAcentral lists this ribosomal RNA (486 nucleotides) under uncultured bacterium. Its description in RNAcentral is "partial 16S ribosomal RNA". It matches the Rfam family "Bacterial small subunit ribosomal RNA", at positions 30 to 507 of the family's 1533-position model. The record is from RNAcentral.